Molecule: long non-coding RNA, 411 nt
Organism: Musa acuminata AAA Group (dessert banana)
Lineage: Eukaryota; Viridiplantae; Streptophyta; Magnoliopsida; Zingiberales; Musaceae
Exons: 3
Source: RefSeq, a predicted model, not a curated record
GCCUUCCUGUGAUUGGAUGUUGAUCUGCUGGGCCCCGCGUAUAACAAGCGAGAUGCGUCGCGCGUAAACUAGCAGGUGAAACACAACCGUGCAUGCCUCGUGUUAUCUCAGUUCCUAUUGGAACCUUCCAGACUCCGCCUCCAUUGGUCUCGCCCUACCAUCUUGUUCCUAGUCGGCGGAGGCAUUCUUCCUGCAAGAGGGGAGGAGGAUGACUCAUAUCCUUAUCUGAGAUCGAGGGAGGUCGACCGACAGAGGUCGCAAACCCGAAAGGCUCAGGUGAAGCAGAGAGACGACGGCCUGACCCCUGAACAGCGCCGCGAGAGGGAUGCGAAAGCGCUGCAGGAGAAGGCAGCUAAGAAGGCUGCAGGAGCAGCAGCAGGAGGGGGAGGCGCCACCGACUCCAAAAACAAA